ACUCAAAUGAAUAGACGGGGGCCCGCACAAGCGGUGGAGCAUGUGGUUUAAUUCGACGCAACGCGCAGAACCUUACCAGCCCUUGACAUGGCGGCUGCGGCCCGGGGAGACCUGGGCUUCCCUUCGGGGGGCCGUCACAGGUGCUGCAUGGCUGUCGUCAGCUCGUGUCGUGAGAUGUUGGGUUAAGUCCCGCAACGAGCGCAACCCUUAUCUCUAGUUGCCAGCGGGUUGGGCCGGGCACUCUAGAGAGACCGCCGGUGACAAGCCGGAGGAAGGUGGGGAUGACGUCAAGUCCUCAUGGCCCUUAUGGGCUGGGCUACACACGUGCUACAAUGGCGGUGACAGUGGGCAGCGAAGCAGCGAUGUGGAGCAAAUCCCCAAAAGCCGUCUCAGUUCGGAUCGCAGGCUGCAACUCGCCUGCGUGAAGGUGGAAUCGCUAGUAAUCGUGGAUCAGCACGCCACGGUGAAUACGUUCCCGGGCCUUGUACACACCGCCCGU
This 499-nucleotide ribosomal RNA is filed under the name uncultured bacterium. RNAcentral's name for it is "partial 16S ribosomal RNA". It matches the Rfam family "Bacterial small subunit ribosomal RNA", at positions 899 to 1397 of the family's 1533-position model. The record is from RNAcentral.